CUGGCGGCGCGCCUAACACAUGCAAGUCGAACGAGAGAUGAGGAGCUUGCUCUUCAGAUCGAGUGGCGAACGGGUGAGUAACGCGUGAGGAACCUGCCUCAAAGAGGGGGACAACAGUUGGAAACGACUGCUAAUACCGCAUGACACAUCGGAGUCGCAUGGCUCUGAUGUCAAAGAUUUAUCGCUGAAAGAUGGCCUCGCGUCUGAUUAGCUAGUUGGUGAGGUAACGGCCCACCAAGGCGACGAUCAGUAGCCGGACUGAGAGGUUGAACGGCCACAUUGGGACUGAGAUACGGCCCAGACUCCUACGGGAGGCAGCAGUGGGGAAUAUUGGGCAAUGGGCGCAAGCCUGACCCAGCAACGCCGCGUGAAGGAAGAAGGCUUUCGGGUUGUAAACUUCUUUUGUCAGGGACGAGUAGAAGACGGUACCUGACGAAUAAGCCACGGCUAACUACGUG
RNAcentral lists this ribosomal RNA (458 nucleotides) under uncultured bacterium. RNAcentral's name for it is "bacterial SSU rRNA". It matches the Rfam family "Bacterial small subunit ribosomal RNA", at positions 36 to 507 of the family's 1533-position model. The record is from RNAcentral.